Trichomycterus rosablanca is the source of this 168-nucleotide long non-coding RNA. RefSeq lists it as uncharacterized. Lineage: Eukaryota; Metazoa; Chordata; Actinopteri; Siluriformes; Trichomycteridae. The transcript is spliced from 3 exons. The record is from RefSeq and is a predicted model, not a curated record.
CCUCAAACAAAAAUACAAAGAACUUAAGUGUCCACCUACUGGGGUAAGUACAGAGGGUGGUGAAGCAACAGCAGCAUCCUGGAAAUGGAUGCUGCUGAAGCUUCACCAUCCUCGAGAAGCAUGGAAACCCCAGCCAAAAAGAGACGAGGGAAGAAAGAUUUAGUUGAG